Molecule: ribosomal RNA, 253 nt
Filed under: uncultured bacterium
Lineage: Bacteria
Description: partial 16S ribosomal RNA
Rfam family: Bacterial small subunit ribosomal RNA
Source: RNAcentral
UACGUAGGGGGCAAGCGUUGUCCGGAAUCAUUGGGCGUAAAGAGCGUGUAGGCGGCUUGGUAAGUCGCUGGGGAAAGUCCAGGGCUCAACCCUGGAAUGCCGGCGGAAACUGUCAAGCUUGAGUCCGGAAGAGGCGAGUGGAAUUCCUGGUGUAGCGGUGAAAUGCACAGAUAUCAGGAGGAACACCAAUGGCGAAGGCAGCUCGCUGGGACGGUACUGACGCUGAGACGCGAAAGCGUGGGGAGCAAACAGG